AAAGACCCCGUGAACCUUUACUAUAGCUUGACACUGAACAUUGAGCCUUGAUGUGUAGGAUAGGUGGGAGGCUUUGAAGUGUGGACGCCAGUCUGCAUGGAGCCGACCUUGAAAUACCACCCUUUAAUGUUUGAUGUUCUAACGUUGACCCGUAAUCCGGGUUGCGGACAGUGUCUGGUGGGUAGUUUGACUGGGGCGGUCUCCUCCUAAAGAGUAACGGAGGAGCACGAAGGUUGGCUAAUCCUGGUCGGACAUCAGGAGGUUAGUGCAAUGGCAUAAGCCAGCUUGACUGCGAGCGUGACGGCGCGAGCAGGUGCGAAAGCAGGUCAUAGUGAUCCGGUGGUUCUGAAUGGAAGGGCCAUCGCUCAACGGAUAAAAGGUACUCCGGGGAUAACAGGCUGAUACCGCCCAAGAGUUCAUAUCGACGGCGGUGUUUGGCACCUCGAUGUCGGCUCAUCACAUCCUGGGGCUGAAGUAGGUCCCAAGGGUAUGGCUGUUCGCCAUUUAAAGUGGUACGCGAGCUGGGUUUAGAACGUCGUGAGACAGUUCGGUCCCUAUCUGCCGUGGGCGCUGGAGAACUGAGGGGGGCUGCUCCUAGUACGAGAGGACCGGAGUGGACGCAUCACUGGUGUUCGGGUUGUCAUGCCAAUGGCACUGCCCGGUAGCUAAAUGCGGAAGAGAUAAGUGCUGAAAGCAUCUAAGCACGAAACUUGCC
This 715-nucleotide ribosomal RNA is filed under the name Escherichia coli. Its description in RNAcentral is "partial 23S ribosomal RNA". It matches the Rfam family "Bacterial large subunit ribosomal RNA", at positions 2084 to 2798 of the family's 2925-position model. Lineage: Bacteria; Pseudomonadati; Pseudomonadota; Gammaproteobacteria; Enterobacterales; Enterobacteriaceae. The record is from RNAcentral.